RNAcentral lists this ribosomal RNA (254 nucleotides) under uncultured bacterium. RNAcentral describes it as "partial 16S ribosomal RNA". It matches the Rfam family "Bacterial small subunit ribosomal RNA", at positions 524 to 776 of the family's 1533-position model. The record is from RNAcentral.
UACAGAGGUGGCAAGUGUUGUUCGGAUUCACUGGGCGUAAAGGGUGCGUAGGUGGCUUGGCAAGUUGGAUGUGAAAUACCACAGCUUAACUGUGGAAUGGCAUCCAAAACUGCCUUGCUUGAGGAUCUAAGGACGUGAGCGGAAUUCUCGGUGUAGCGGUGAAAUGCGUAGAUAUCGAGAAGAACACCUGUGGCGUAGGCGGCUCACGACUAUAUUCCUGACACUGAAGCGCGAAAGCGUGGGGAGCAAACGGG